RNAcentral lists this ribosomal RNA (467 nucleotides) under uncultured bacterium. Its description in RNAcentral is "partial 16S ribosomal RNA". It matches the Rfam family "Bacterial small subunit ribosomal RNA", at positions 28 to 507 of the family's 1533-position model. The record is from RNAcentral.
GACGAACGCUGGUGGCGUGCUUAACACAUGCGAGUCGAACGGAAAGGCCUCUUUCGGGGGGUACUCGAGUGGCGAACGGGUGAGUAACACGUGAGUAACCUGCCCUUGACUUUGGGAUAACUUCAGGAAACUGGGGCUAAUACCGGAUAGGAGCUCCUGCUGCAUGGUGGGGGUUGGAAAGUUUCGGCGGUUGGGGAUGGACUCGCGGCUUAUCAGCUUGUUGGUGGGGUAGUGGCUUACCAAGGCUUUGGCGGGUAGCCGGCCUGAGAGGGUGACCGGCCACAUUGGGACUGAGAUACGGCCCAGACUCCUACGGGAGGCAGCAGUGGGGAAUAUUGCACAAUGGGUGGAAGCCUGAUGCAGCAACGCCGUGUGCGGGAUGACGGCCUUCGGGUUGUAAACCGCUUUCGCUCAUGACGAAGCUUUGUGUGACGGUAGUGGGUAAAGAAGCACCGGCUAACUACGUG